Molecule: ribosomal RNA, 461 nt
Filed under: uncultured bacterium
Lineage: Bacteria
Description: partial 16S ribosomal RNA
Rfam family: Bacterial small subunit ribosomal RNA
Source: RNAcentral
ACGAACGCUGGCGGCGUGCUUAACACAUGCAAGUCGAGCGGAAAGGCCACUUCGGUGGUCCUCGAGCGGCGAACGGGUGAGUAACACGUGAGUAAUCUGCCCCUCACUUUGGGAUAGCCACCGGAAACGGUGAUUAAUACCGGAUAUGACCAUAUGUCGCAUGGCGUGUGGUGGAAAGUUUUUCGGUGAGGGAUGUGCUCGCGGCCUAUCAGCUUGAUGGUGAGGUAAUGGCUCACCAUGGCUUCGACGGGUAGCCGGCCUGAGAGGGUGACCGGUCACACUGGGACUGAGACACGGCCCAGACUCCUACGGGAGGCAGCAGUGGGGAAUAUUGGACAAUGGGCGGAAGCCUGAUCCAGCAACGCCGCGUGAGGGAUGACGGCCUUCGGGUUGUAAACCUCUUUCAGUACCGACGAAGCGCAAGUGACGGUAGGUACAGAAGAAGCACCGGCCAACUACGU